This 7151-nucleotide ribosomal RNA is filed under the name Triticum aestivum (bread wheat). Its description in RNAcentral is "partial small subunit ribosomal RNA". Lineage: Eukaryota; Viridiplantae; Streptophyta; Magnoliopsida; Poales; Poaceae. The record is from RNAcentral.
GCAGAGGGAUAGGCGGAGGGGAGGAGAGAGGGUUGCUGGUCUGGUCUCGGUCUCUAGACGGAGGGAGGGAGGGGAGGGGCUCGCGCUGCCGAUCCCAAGGAGCGGCGGCGGCCGGGCGGCGGCAAGGAGACGCCGCGCGGGUCGGCCGGCUCCGGGGGCGGCGGGGCGGCGGGCGUGGCCUCGGGUCGUCGCGGAGGGAGGGAGGGAGGGCGGGACGGCGCCGACCAGGGCGGCGGACCUCGCUGGGGCCGCUGGCCAGGUAUCCNNNNNNNNNNNNNNNNNNNNNNNNNNNNNNNNNNNNNNNNNNNNNNNNNNNNNNNNNNNNNNNNNNNNNNNNNNNNNNNNNNNNNNNNNNNNNNNNNNNNNNNNNNNNNNNNNNNNNNNNNNNNNNNNNNNNNNNNNNNNNNNNNNNNNNNNNNNNNNNNNNNNNNNNNNNNNNNNNNNNNNNNNNNNNNNNNNNNNNNNNNNNNNNNNNNNNNNNNNNNNNNNNNNNNNNNNNNNNNNNNNNNNNNNNNNNNNNNNNNNNNNNNNNNNNNNNNNNNNNNNNNNNNNNNNAGACAAAAGGACUAAGAAGACAGCCUACUCAAAAAAAAAAGAUCUUAUGCACAGACAUACUACUCGCGAACGACAUCAUCUAACCCAUAACGCUCCUCCUACGUAGGUCGCUGCCGACAAGGAACUGCUCAUCAACGACGCACUAAAAGGGUCACGCACAAGCUCAUAUGUGCACCUUCCCUAAAACGGACCAUCCACAAACACUAUUACGAACUUCCCCGUUUAGAAGUGUUUAGCGUCAAACUGAAAAAAGUCUGCUCGUUUACAUGUACAAUCGUUGUCGCUUUGUACAAUCCGACUGCUGUAUACACAAAUUAGACGUGACGGAACCGGACUUUAGUAGUUUCGAAUAUCACCAUCACACGUCAAACUCUCGUCGUCCUCGAAAGAGAGCCAACAUGACCGGGUUUAAUCAUGAUCACCUUUCAUAACAACCGUACUAUCUACAGGACUUAAAACAAAUACUAACCCCUGUAUCACCAUGACAACGCGACACAACAACUAAAAUAAUAUUUAUCAACCUGGGAUUUUAUAAUAAUGGCAAAUUUCACUGGCAAAGAGGAAAACGUACGAUCGGCCAACGCGGGAGACCACCACCUAGAGCCCGGUUGAUAAGACCUACGUAGAUACUGUACCACCUGUUCCGUCGUCUUUGCUCAGUCGCACUCCACCGUCGGCUCCCUCAACAAAACACCCUACUUCGUAACCAUUUCUGUUCGGGUCUCCUAGACGUCUACGCAACGUUCCUCAACGCGACAAUAUUACUGUAGUGACAGUACACAAACUUCUUUCUACAAUUGACACUGGACCUUUUCCUACCAAACACCGGUUUUUAACUUCGACUCCAGAGAUGAGGACGGGUGGUUCUAAGUCAAGGAAACUUAAAACCCACAUUGGAACGACAAACAAACCUACCGUUCCGACCACUCUAACCACUUCAUAGACUUGUGUCUUGACCGUACCUCUCUCGCCGAACACCGAGUGUCCCUCCUCCAUACGACAGUAAACUGGCACCUAAGACCUUCCCCCGACAACCUCUGUUCUUAGUCAAAGGGUCCUACCUUCCUACGGUACUUUUACCCCCGAACAGUCUAAACCCUUUGGUACUGUGACUGUUCAAAGGUGUUCCACGACUACGGGACUCAAACUAGCUACUAUUAGUACUCGACCCUUCCCUAACAAAAGACCGUUUAUAGCUACUUCUCCACAGGAAGGGGCAACUACUUCGAAGCUAGGGAAGGAAGAUGGUCUUCUCGAUAUACCUACAAAAACAUCUUCUAUCGUUCAGUACGUAUCUCUUUAAUUGAGUUCUAAGUGACCUUCCUCUAUACGAAAGUACACUCGCGCUACGGUCUAAAGCAUGACUCCGAAGACCUCUGCUCUUAGUUGUAGUAUCCUACCGCCACAGUUUCCCAGUCCAAAGUAGAUAAACAUUUCUACGUUUAUCAGGCUCAAAUUUACGAACACCAGAGAAAGGACUUUAUCUUCAAGAUGCGGUUGUCCGACUGUUUCUUAUGUUCCAGAAACUUGAUGGGGGUCUCUAUAUGGACCGAUCUAGAAGGAUAUUGGGUGGAACGGAUCUACCUGAAACAGCAUCACCGUUCCUUAGUAGACGACACACGGACCCGGUAGUUCUAAGAAGACCACAGUUUAGUGCAACAGGUCUAGUAAACCAUGUUCUCGAGUUACGUAUAUUGAGAAGGUAACUGUUUGGAACGAGACGGUUAAAACAACUUUGACGGUUACUACUUCUUAGUGUUUUAUUUUAAAGCCUCAGUAAUUUACGGAGGUUCGCAUCCUUAGGUUCUUCUCGGCGGAGUAGUUCUUUAGCGCGAGGACGCCUUGUACUAGUAGUUUAUUUGUUUCCUUCGUCAUCGUGUACGUUUAGAUUCUUCCAACUCUCAAGCACGAGUAAUCAACUUUCGUGGAACUAAUUCAAGGGUUCGUUUUGAUGGUUCCAUUCUUCACCGUAGUUGUCUGGUCACUUAAGCUGACGGACCCCGUCAGAUCUUUUCGACCACCUACCAAAACCAGUCUUGACACUUGGAAGAUGGAGAUUAAGAGUAGACUAAAGGGAACUUUUACCACCCUCUAGUUUGUUUUCUAGACCCUUCUUUCUCGUCGGGUAACAAGCUUUCCGAGCUUCAAGUUCUACAGGUUUUUUAUUCAAGGGACGGAAAAGACAAUGGUCUAUACGUGGCCUACUUAACUUACCGCUUGGAUGGAAAAGUCAGUACCUACCACGAAUACCGAGGCGUCUUCCAAUGUAUCCUUUGAAGGGAUUCAACCGAGGAGCACGUAAAGAGUUACAAAGACUACUACGAGUGUCUAGACACGUUGUAUACAGAUAGGUCUGACUGUACGUCGUCAAUCUGUCCACGAACCUAUCACAACGAGUUCUUUGUACAGGACGCAUGUACACACCUCUCAAACGAUUUAGUUAAAGGCUUGGAAGAGAAUUAUUACCGCCACAACCUAAAAGUGGGCUGAGACAAAACCUCCAUCGGAGACAAUGUACACUUUUGUUGUGGAGACGUUCGGUACUACAAUUUGACGCACCCUUGGGUAGAAUAGGACGACAUAACUGGCUUUCACUAGAAGUACGUAGACUAAAUAGAUAAGGACUGAAACCUUUUUUAGUACGCAGUAGUAGUUGUCUAAAACUCGUCGUCGGGUUUUGACACUCCCCACUACUCUUGUGUUCUUCGCUUCUCUAAUUAGUCAGAGUACGGUAUUAACCAAUACAACCACUCCCUUUUCACGUUCCGAAUCUCUUCAGGUUACGUCACUCCUUUUGAUUCUACAACCUUUUCGUCUUUCCGGCUUUCUUUCUACCUUAUUUCCCUUUAUUGUAUUCCCUACCUUCAAGGUGGUUUUAAAGUAGUUCACUUCGAAGUUUUAUGUCCCAGAAGAGGCUACUAGGUAGAAGUGAACAAAGUAGUCCUGGAAAUUUCAAGUCAAGAACAAAACUCCAGCAUUGAAGACGGUGUGUCCCAUAGUCAUACGUACUUGUACCGACCCACGUCCCAGGAAGACAUUAACCGUUCCUCUUUUGCUCACGUGAAUUGUUACAUUUUAGUGGCUCCACGUUCUUUUCACCACCAGAAUCUCCCUUCUUCCUAUACCACGCCCUAGGUGUACACUUCGUUCUUUCGUUCUUCUUUUUAUAUCGUCUACGGUAAAAGUAACUAAGACCUAGCAGAUGAAAUGGAAUAGUCGAGCGAUGACUAGACCGUUGUAGAGUAUGCUUACUUGUGCCAAUAGCAUCAGGUCGAUAACUUAUAUGUAAAGUCUUAGGUCGGCGAUAUAGAUGGCUUAAUGGACCUUUACGACGACCGAGUUGUCCACCCCAUAGACAUGGCGUCGGAUUUGCACGACGUACCCGUACAACACUACUAACGGUUUUCACCGCGACGUAUGGUAGACUUAACCGUCUGCAGUAACCUCUUUUGUCUACCUGAACGUUCCUGUUACUACUGUUCCGCAAACGACUAACAAGAUAUGGUGUUCGCUUCUGUUUGCGACUCUAGUUACGACUCGAACUUGAAAGUCUACGAAGACGACUACUUCGACUGUUCCUACCUAGUUUGAGUUUUCGAAGAUCCCGUGGCAGGACCUGUUUAGAAUCUAGCUUGUGUAUAGAUGUAGCAUUGGCUUCCUUAGUUAGGUAGCUACUCUCGUACCAUACGUUGACGUUCGGAGGAGUUCUUCCGGCUUACCCAACAUCUCUACCGACAAACUUGUCUUACGAGUUGUAACUUACACGUUUUGCAUGUACAGGUACGCUCCUCGUUACAAGAUUAGUCGUCAAAGUUUCCGCGUUGAUACGUUUUUAACGUACCAAGGUAAGACCAUUCUUCCCGAUACCUAACUUCAACGUUCUUCUUCAUAGACUUCCCGCCAAGGAAUAACUUAUACAACCGCUCCAGGAACUAUAUUGCUGAAUACUUAGGGCGGUUUCUCUAAUACGAAGAUUCCCGUUCUUCGUAAAGAUGAAAUACCGUGAUCUACCACCACUCCAUUAUCUACGGACGUGGUUCCCUUUGAACCCGGCCAAGUAGUUGGUAUCGACGUCAGGAUUAACAGCGUGUCUCUUCACCUACCAAUUACCUCUUCAAACGUAACCUUAAAAACGAUACUCCUUGUAGUUUUUCCCACUUCUUAAUUGCAAACUAAUGUUGAUACAAGCACAUAGACCACGACGAGGAGUUUUUACAAAAACACCGUGACGGUUUACGGCCCCAAUGUAACCACCUCUGUAUAGUCCCAGACCAUAGUCGUGGGUUGUACAACGUCUUCGUCUCAUAAAACUUGGGUGCCAGUGAAUGUUCCUACGGCUCCUUUACGAUCCUUUACGUACAAGAGUACCACGUUUAGGAUAACAACAACUCGAACUCGUACUUUGGAGGUAGGUUGUUCUUCUAAGUUUAUUGACGUAUGGACAUUGGGGUCUGAGACUUGGAGUGGUUUGAAGGGGACAUUGGGGUCUGAGACUUGGAGUGGUUUGAAGGGGAUAGAAUAAACUUUUAUCACUCGAUCUUUUAAGGACCCUUUACACCUCGGGGGUCCUACGGCUUCUGGGGUGGGCAUGUGGACAGGUACACGGGUCUUGUUAUCUAUCAUGAAACGUCGUCAAUGGUCAUAUACUGUGAGUCGGUAAUCUUAAGAACGGCUUCCGAGGAUUGUGUUACCUACCUAGUCUCCGAGGUUUACACUACUUAGUUAGUCGUGCAUCGAGGCUAAACCCCGUUUUGGACCACCAUGGACCAAAGGUACGAUUCUUCUUUUUGUUAGAUUUUCUAGUCUCUCUACAUUUUAGUAGUAGUACAAGAUGACUGUUACUUUUAUGAGACCCUCAACUUCGUUCUGACUUGUUGGAUGACCUAGCUCUACCUCCAUAAUCGUCUGCUUUUCUAAGUUGUUUACCUAUAAACUCCGACGAAGAUAAACACUGGCGUCGUCGUGCACUGUUACGGCGCCGGCGUCGCCGUGCACUGUUACGGCGCCGGAGUCGCCGUGCACUGUUACGCCGCCGGCGUCGUCGUAUACUACGCUGGCGUUACCUUGUACUUUUACGACGCUGGGGUCGUCUUGCACUGUUACGACCCCCGUGUAGAUUUUCACGUUCCCUAGACAGCAAUUAAGAACUACGUGAAGAUUUUUGUUUUAGUGCGAGUCAGGACAACCUAUAGUAGUUAUGCUUACCUAACGUUUACGAAGUAUUAUAUAACUUCGUCUUAGCUCUGUGGAAAGAAGCUUCUGGAUAUUAUGCCUUCGAAGACUUCCACAACCUCAAAGAACGAAACUUCCCUUAGGACUCUCGACUUUUUUAUUUACUUCUUCGGGGUGCACUCCUUUACCUUUCUAAGUCCCUGAGCUACAACUUUAACUGGGCCGUAUCACUAUUUGUCCAGGUUUGAUAACGAGCCGUGAAGACACUCUUCACCUAGGUAGGAAUAUACCUACCUGGACAAAGUUGAAGUUUUACCACAUGUCUAAGUAUAAGGUUAUCUUCUUUCGCGUUCUCGGCAACCCUAAUAGUUGGUCUUAGGGUGAUAUUUUACCAACCUAGUGAUCAAGCCUUUCAGAUACCUCUUAACCCAGAAGUCCGACCGAACUGGUCUUUAUCCAGCGUCGGACACUACCCUUCGUCGAGUUGUCCGUGUCUGCUACUACACGGAGGACCCAAACUCGGAGUCGUCCCAGCAAGACAUCGAGGUCCUAAGACGGUGGGAUUGAACUUAUAAAGUAUACCCUAAGGGUAGCGAGUACAAGUCGUGAACCCUUGGGGUCUUCAACUUCCUCCACCGUUGGCACCGGUCUUUACCUUUCAGCGUGGACCACACGGAAAAUAAGGAAAGGGUGUCAACGCUGCUCCCUCAGGAACAGGAAGAUGAAGUUGAGUCUACAGGACAGUACUGCGGUACUCCGUCUUGUUGUCAAGUCCUGUAGCUCCUUCUCCAAAGCUGUCUCCACCUUCCCACGUUUCCUUACCCUCCUUACCCCGUUCUUGCUCUAUAGGCAUACUAGUAGUUCCUUCUUCUAAGGGUUCGUUAGUAGUAUCUAGACUUUCUACCGUCGGGACCGGGCUGCUUGUACUACCACCAAGUCCUAGAUCCCCGUCUGUUACUUACUGGGUCGGGGACCGUAGCUUGUAGUUAAUCAACACACAUAUGUACCAUUAAGGAAGGACAAGUAGUCUUCACAUGUGUUCGUUUGACACAAUCGAAGAGUAAGAUACAUUGUCUUCAAAAGAUGACUAAGGUUGUCAUCGUCUUGUACACGAUGUCUAUCCGGUUUUAACGAUUAAGUAAGCAACAGUUGAAGAACUACAAGUCACACUCGCCGUUAGUUAGCCUCCUUCCUGAUCAUGCUAAAAGUAACAUUAAAAUUAAAAAAAAUGACCAGCAAGACGGAGGUUAACAGAAAGAAACAUGACCGGCAAAAAGACCUAUUAUUAAUAGUCAAGAUUCUACGGGAAGCCCACAGAAAGAACUUCUUUUUUUGAAGAACUACAGGUACUAUGGACACAAUAAAACAAAACAACACACGGACGUCGAAAACAAACGUCCUUUCACUACGCACGAAAACUAUAA